This 77-nucleotide transfer RNA is filed under the name Mollicutes bacterium. RNAcentral's name for it is "tRNA-Met". It matches the Rfam family "tRNA". From Rfam's summary of the family: Transfer RNA (tRNA) molecules are approximately 80 nucleotides in length. Their secondary structure includes four short double-helical elements and three loops (D, anti-codon, and T loops). The record is from RNAcentral. Lineage: Bacteria; Bacillati; Mycoplasmatota; Mollicutes.
GGGAAGGUAGCUUAACUGGUUAAAGCGUUCGGCUCAUAUCCGAGAGAUUGCGGGUUCAAAUCCCGCCCUUGCUACCA